RNAcentral lists this ribosomal RNA (426 nucleotides) under uncultured bacterium. Its description in RNAcentral is "bacterial SSU rRNA". It matches the Rfam family "Bacterial small subunit ribosomal RNA", at positions 355 to 774 of the family's 1533-position model. The record is from RNAcentral.
UCGAGAAUUUUUCACAAUGGGCGCAAGCCUGAUGGAGCGACGCCGCGUGGGGGAUGAAUGGCUUCGGCCCGUAAACCCCUGUCAUUUGCGAUCAAACCUUGCUAUUUAAAAGAUGGCGAGCUGAUAGUAGCGAAAGAGGAAGGGACGGCUAACUCUGUGCCAGCAGCCGCGGUAAUACAGAGGUCCCAAGCGUUGUUCGGAUUCACUGGGCGUAAAGGGUGCGUAGGUGGUGGGGUAAGUCGGAUGUGAAAUCUCGGAGCUCAACUCCGAAAUGGCAUUCGAAACUACCCUGCUAGAGGGUCGGAGGGGGGACUGGAAUUCUCGGUGUAGCAGUGAAAUGCGUAGAUAUCGAGAGGAACACCAGUGGCGAAGGCGAGUCCCUGGACGACUCCUGACACUGAGGCACGAAAGCUAGGGGAGCAAACA